This 1483-nucleotide ribosomal RNA is filed under the name uncultured bacterium. RNAcentral describes it as "bacterial SSU rRNA". It matches the Rfam family "Bacterial small subunit ribosomal RNA". The record is from RNAcentral.
GCUCAGAUUGAACGCUGGCGGCAGGCCUAACACAUGCAAGUCGAGCGGUAGCACAGAGAGCUUGCUCUCGGGUGACGAGCGGCGGACGGGUGAGUAAUGUCUGGGAAACUGCCUGAUGGAGGGGGAUAACUACUGGAAACGGUAGCUAAUACCGCAUAAUGUCGCAAGACCAAAGUGGGGGACCUUUGGGCCUCAUGCCAUCAGAUGUGCCCAGAUGGGAUUAGCUAGUAGGUGGGGUAACGGCUCACCUAGGCGACGAUCCCUAGCUGGUCUGAGAGGAUGACCAGCCACACUGGAACUGAGACACGGUCCAGACUCCUACGGGAGGCAGCAGUGGGGAAUAUUGCACAAUGGGCGCAAGCCUGAUGCAGCCAUGCCGCGUGUGUGAAGAAGGCCUUCGGGUUGUAAAGCACUUUCAGCGGGGAGGAAGGCGUUAAGGUUAAUAACCUUGGCGAUUGACGUUACCCGCAGAAGAAGCACCGGCUAACUCCGUGCCAGCAGCCGCGGUAAUACGGAGGGUGCAAGCGUUAAUCGGAAUUACUGGGCGUAAAGCGCACGCAGGCGGUCUGUCAAGUCGGAUGUGAAAUCCCCGGGCUCAACCUGGGAACUGCAUUCGAAACUGGCAGGCUAGAGUCUUGUAGAGGGGGGUAGAAUUCCAGGUGUAGCGGUGAAAUGCGUAGAGAUCUGGAGGAAUACCGGUGGCGAAGGCGGCCCCCUGGACAAAGACUGACGCUCAGGCGCGAAAGCGUGGGGAGCAAACAGGAUUAGAUACCCUGGUAGUCCACGCCGUAAACGAUGUCGAUUUGGAGGUUGUGCCCUUGAGGCGUGGCUUCCGGAGCUAACGCGUUAAAUCGACCGCCUGGGGAGUACGGCCGCAAGGUUAAAACUCAAAUGAAUUGACGGGGGCCCGCACAAGCGGUGGAGCAUGUGGUNUAAUUCGAUGCAACGCGAAGAACCUUACCUGGUCUUGACAUCCACAGAACUUUCCAGAGAUGGAUUGGUGCCUUCGGGAACUGUGAGACAGGUGCUGCAUGGCUGUCGUCAGCUCGUGUUGUGAAAUGUUGGGUUAAGUCCCGCAACGAGCGCAACCCUUAUCCUUUGUUGCCAGCGGUUAGGCCGGGAACUCAAAGGAGACUGCCAGUGAUAAACUGGAGGAAGGUGGGGAUGACGUCAAGUCAUCAUGGCCCUUACGACCAGGGCUACACACGUGCUACAAUGGCAUAUACAAAGAGAAGCGACCUCGCGAGAGCAAGCGGACCUCAUAAAGUAUGUCGUAGUCCGGAUUGGAGUCUGCAACUCGACUCCAUGAAGUCGGAAUCGCUAGUAAUCGUAGAUCAGAAUGCUACGGUGAAUACGUUCCCGGGCCUUGUACACACCGCCCGUCACACCAUGGGAGUGGGUUGCAAAAGAAGUAGGUAGCUUAACCUUCGGGAGGGCGCUUACCACUUUGUGAUUCAUGACUGGGGUGAAGUCGUAACAAGGU